RNAcentral lists this transfer RNA (76 nucleotides) under Marmota marmota marmota (Alpine marmot). It matches the Rfam family "tRNA". From Rfam's summary of the family: Transfer RNA (tRNA) molecules are approximately 80 nucleotides in length. Their secondary structure includes four short double-helical elements and three loops (D, anti-codon, and T loops). RNAcentral also lists the same sequence under 1 other name. Lineage: Eukaryota; Metazoa; Chordata; Mammalia; Rodentia; Sciuridae. The record is from Rfam by way of RNAcentral.
UGGGUUGUGGCUCAGUGGUAGAGCGCUUGCUUGCCCAGCAUAUAUGAGGCACUGAGUUCAAUCCUCAGCACCACAU